This 474-nucleotide long non-coding RNA is filed under the name Mytilus galloprovincialis (Mediterranean mussel). Lineage: Eukaryota; Metazoa; Mollusca; Bivalvia; Mytilida; Mytilidae. The record is from RNAcentral.
CGUCCAACAACCAGGUAUUGUGAAUUAUACAAUUGGCAAAGGUUUGAUACCCAUUUUGCCUUAGGGAGCUACCAUUUGAUUUUUUAUGGGGGGCUAGGAUGUCCUGCCUUUUUAUUUUUCACUCUAUAUGGUCCUGCCUUUUUUUUAUUAGUUUAUUCUGACAUUUUUUACCUAAAUUGUCAUCCUGACUUUUUUGCAAGUGUAAUCGCUUUUUUUUUUUACUCAAAACUCCUGUCCUGCCUAUUUUUUUCAAAUUUCAUCCUAGCCCCCCCAUAAAAAUCAAAUGGUAGCUCCCUUAUUUAAAAGGGAUUUGACAAAUACAGAAAGCAAUUAAUUGUAUUAUAUAUCAGCUUUACAAAGUUACUAUAGAUAUAUAUAUCCCUUAAAACAAUUUACGGAUCAUGUCACCUCCCCCCCCCUUUUCCCCCAUUUUUUUUAUUCCCAUAUCAUAUAAAAGUAAAGCGUAUAUGUAUG